RNAcentral lists this transfer RNA (99 nucleotides) under Stenotrophomonas maltophilia. RNAcentral's name for it is "tRNA-Lys". It matches the Rfam family "tRNA". From Rfam's summary of the family: Transfer RNA (tRNA) molecules are approximately 80 nucleotides in length. Their secondary structure includes four short double-helical elements and three loops (D, anti-codon, and T loops). Further hydrogen bonds mediate the characteristic L-shaped molecular structure. tRNAs have two regions of fundamental functional importance: the anti-codon, which is responsible for specific mRNA codon recognition, and the 3' end, to which the tRNAs corresponding amino acid is attached (by aminoacyl-tRNA synthetases). tRNAs cope with the degeneracy of the genetic code in two manners: having more than one tRNA (with a specific anti-codon) for a particular amino acid; and 'wobble' base-pairing, i.e. permitting non-standard base-pairing at the 3rd anti-codon position. The record is from RNAcentral. RNAcentral also lists the same sequence under 4 other names. Lineage: Bacteria; Pseudomonadati; Pseudomonadota; Gammaproteobacteria; Lysobacterales; Lysobacteraceae.
GGGCCGUAAAUUAUACUUCUAUAAGUUGUUGAUUUUAUUCAAUAGAUUUAUAGACUUUUAAUCUUUUGGUCGAAGGUUCGAAUCCUUCACGGCCCACCA